AUAAAAUGUAACUUAUUUAUUUUUAAAGAGUGGAAUAAGGCAACUAAAUCUUAGAACUCAAGUUACAGUUAAUGAACAGAUUAACUCUAGAAAGAACUCAGAGGGUAACAGCAAGAUCAAUGAUUCUAAAGGAUAAAAUCCUUAAAGGCAUUUGUGAAUGCAUGUGAAAUAAAGUACAGUUUUCCUGUUGCCUCAUUACAGCGUUUCUCCUCAAAGACAGGUAGGCAGGUAGGUAGGUAGGUACUGUAAGAGAGAGUGAAGGAAACUAAGUCAGGAAUUUUAUUAUACAUAGCAAUAAUUUACCUGCUGCUAACUGCUAAAUUCUUUUUGUUCAGCAAGAUGGUAUGCUCAUAGUAGCAUUAAUAAAUUGGGAUGCAAAAAAAAAA
Molecule: long non-coding RNA, 386 nt
Organism: Sapajus apella (tufted capuchin)
Lineage: Eukaryota; Metazoa; Chordata; Mammalia; Primates; Cebidae
Exons: 2
Source: RefSeq, a predicted model, not a curated record